UACGGAGGGUGCAAACGUUGCUCGGAAUUAUUGGGCGUAAAGCGCACGUAGGCGGUCCAGCAAGUCGGGUGUGAAAGCCCUCGGCUUAACCGAGGAAGUGCAUUCGAAACUACUGGACUUGAAUACUGGAGAGGAUCGCGGAAUUCCCGGUGUAGAGGUGAAAUUCGUAGAUAUCUGGAGGAACACCGGUGGCGAAGGCGGCAUCCUGGACCAACACUGACGCUGAGGCGCGAAAGCUAGGGGAGCAAACGGG
Molecule: ribosomal RNA, 253 nt
Filed under: uncultured bacterium
Lineage: Bacteria
Description: partial 16S ribosomal RNA
Rfam family: Bacterial small subunit ribosomal RNA
Source: RNAcentral